Molecule: ribosomal RNA, 301 nt
Filed under: uncultured bacterium
Lineage: Bacteria
Description: partial 16S ribosomal RNA
Rfam family: Bacterial small subunit ribosomal RNA
Source: RNAcentral
CAGCAGCCGCGGGAAUACGAAGGGUGCAAGCGUUAAUCGGAAUUACUGGGCGUAAAGCGUGCGUAGGCGGUGAGUUAAGUCUGCUGUGAAAUCCCCGGGCUCAACCUGGGAAUGGCAGUGGAUACUGGCUCGCUAGAGUGUGUCAGAGGAUGGUGGAAUUCCCGGUGUAGCGGUGAAAUUCGUAGAUAUUCGCAGGAACACCAGUGGCGAAGGCGGCUAACUGGUCCAUAACUGACGCUGAGGUGCGAAAGCGUGGGGAGCAAACAGGAUUAGAUACCCCGGAGUCCCUGUCUCUUAUACA